Molecule: long non-coding RNA, 626 nt
Organism: Phyllopteryx taeniolatus (common seadragon)
Lineage: Eukaryota; Metazoa; Chordata; Actinopteri; Syngnathiformes; Syngnathidae
Exons: 3
Source: RefSeq, a predicted model, not a curated record
GAGUGGACGUGCUGGGGCUCGGAAACAUCGUCAGCGACUAUUAAACUGUCAUGUGGAGGCAACAAAAAGACGACAAGUCCUUCUUCUCCCUAGCAAUGUUUACCAGAUUGAAGUAUUUCUUUGGUGGGAGUGAGACAGACUUCUCAGCAUGGUCCCUGUGGUGUAUUUCCCACUGACACGACUGAGCUCUGACACAUGUUGGGCCCCCAUGUGUUGUCAUCCGCUGCAAGGGAAGUGAAACUAACGACGACAAACAAGAUUUUGAUGCGUCUGCACACUUUGGGUGUCAUCUCGUCGCUCAUCGUGGACGAGGAAAUGGGGCAGCCAAGAGGUCACCAAAGUGAGCAGACAAAAGGUUUGAACACGGAACCUGAAACCAGGAGCUACACACGCCGCCGUCUGGAGCCACUGUCGGCCUUAUCUGGACGCGAUAACAGACGACAACAAACCUGGACGCACGCGCGCGCACCCACCCACGCUGCUGGCCCAGUUAUCCCACAGAAGUGUCAUAUGUGACACCCACAAAUUAAACCAGCCGAUCAGCGCCUAAAUUAUUUGCCUCUGGCUUGCUUUUAACUUUGAGUGGUGGUAUAUACAUUUCGUUGUUUUUUUGUUUUUUUUUUCAA